GACGAACGCUGGCGGCGUGCUUAACACAUGCAAGUCGAACGGAAAGGCCCUGCUUUUGUGGGGUGCUCGAGUGGCGAACGGGUGAGUAACACGUGAGUAACCUGCCCUUGACUUUGGGAUAACUUCAGGAAACUGGGGCUAAUACCGGAUAGGAGCUCCUGCUGCAUGGUGGGGGUUGGAAAGUUUCGGCGGUUGGGGAUGGACUCGCGGCUUAUCAGCUUGUUGGUGGGGUAGUGGCUUACCAAGGCUUUGACGGGUAGCCGGCCUGAGAGGGUGACCGGCCACAUUGGGACUGAGGUACGGCCCAGAGUCCUACGGGGGGCAGCAGUGGGGAAUAUUGCACAAUGGGCGGAAGCCUGAUGCAGCAACGCCGCGUGCGGGAUGACGGCCUUCGGGUUGUAAACCGCUUUCGCCUGUGACGAAGCGUGAGUGACGGUAAUGGGUAAAGAAGCACCGGCUAACUACGUG
This 468-nucleotide ribosomal RNA is filed under the name uncultured bacterium. RNAcentral describes it as "partial 16S ribosomal RNA". It matches the Rfam family "Bacterial small subunit ribosomal RNA", at positions 28 to 507 of the family's 1533-position model. The record is from RNAcentral.